Molecule: ribosomal RNA, 628 nt
Filed under: Apis dorsata (giant honeybee)
Lineage: Eukaryota; Metazoa; Arthropoda; Insecta; Hymenoptera; Apidae
Description: partial 28S ribosomal RNA
Source: RNAcentral
AUGGGGAGAUUCAUCGGCAACGGUGCUGGCUCCCGUUGGUGCGCGAUGCUCCGGAUGAAUCCUCGUGGUUCAUCGGCGAGGGCACACCACCUUCGGCUUGAACGUUCCGGCAUCGUAGUCGUGCACUUCUCCCCUAGUAGAACGUCGCGACCCGUUGUGUGUCGGUCUACGGCCCGAGAGGGCGCCUGUCGCGUCGCUUCGCGCGCACGCGGCAGACCCUCGGUCGCCUGGCCGGCUGCACGACGGUACUCGCACGGUAUCGGGCCGCAACCAAUCCAUUUUUUCGAAUGUGUGUGCGUCAGGCCCGCCGCAAGCUCGGUCAGUUCUUACCCGGAGGUACGGACCUGGUGCCGUCCCCGGGCCUGGCCAGCUGUUAGCAGGCGGUGUCCUUGGACUGGCCAAGACUCGAAUUACCGGUCGGCGACGCUAUUGCUUUGGGUACUCUCAGGACCCGUCUUGAAACACGGACCAAGGAGUCUAACAUGUGCGCGAGUCAUUGGGAUGCAAAAACCUAAAGGCGAAAUGAAAGUGAAGAUCGGACUUUGUGCCGAUCGAGGGGAAGAUGGGCCGCGUUACUAUGCGGCCCCGCACUCCCGGGGCGUCUCGUUCUCAUUGCGAGAAGAGGCGC